CUACGCACUCCUACGGGAGGCAGCAGUGGGGAAUAUUGCACAAUGGGUCGCAAGCCUGAUGCAGCCAUGCCGCGUGUAUGAAGAAGGCCUUCGGGUUGUAAAGUACUUUCAGCAGUGAGGAAGGUGGGUAUGUUAAUAGCAUACUCAUUUGACGUUUAGCUGCAGAAGAAGCACCGGCUAACUCCGUGCCAGCAGCCGCGGUAAUACGGAGGGUGCGAGCGUUAAUCGGAAUUACUGGGCGUAAAGCGCAUGCAGGUGGUUUGUUAAGUCAGAUGUGAAAGCCCGGGGCUCAACCUCGGAAUUGCAUUUGAAACUGGCAAACUAGAGUACUGUAGAGGGGGUAGAAUUUCAGGUGUAGCGGUGAAAUGCGUAGAGAUCUGAAGGAAUACCGGUGGCGAAGGCGGCCCCCUGGACAGAUACUGACACUCAGAUGCGAAAGCGUGGGGAGCAAACAGGAUUAGAUACCCUGGUAG
Molecule: ribosomal RNA, 473 nt
Filed under: uncultured bacterium
Lineage: Bacteria
Description: bacterial SSU rRNA
Rfam family: Bacterial small subunit ribosomal RNA
Source: RNAcentral